UACAGAGGUGGCAAGCGUUGUUCGGAAUUACUGGGCGUCACGGGCGCGUAGGCUGUCUUUUAAUUCUUUUGUGAAAUCCCUCGGCUCAACUGAGGAACUGCACGGGAUACUGGAAGACUUGAGUUCGGGAGAGGGAAGCGGAAUUCCGGGUGUAGCGGUGAAAUGCGUAGAUAUCCGGAGGAACACCGGUGGCGAAGGCGGCUUCCUGGACCGAUUACUGACGCUGAGGCGCGAAAGCUAGGGGAGCAAACGGG
RNAcentral lists this ribosomal RNA (254 nucleotides) under uncultured bacterium. Its description in RNAcentral is "partial 16S ribosomal RNA". It matches the Rfam family "Bacterial small subunit ribosomal RNA", at positions 524 to 776 of the family's 1533-position model. The record is from RNAcentral.